GUGUCAGCAGCCGCGGUGAUACGUAGGGUGCGAGCGUUGUCCGGAUUUAUUGGGCGUAAAGGGCUCGUAGGCGGUUGAUCGCGUCGGAAGUGAAAACUUGGGGCUUAACCCUGAGCGUGCUUUCGAUACGGGUUGACUUGAGGAAGGUAGGGGAGAAUGGAAUUCCUGGUGGAGCGGUGGAAUGCGCAGAUAUCAGGAGGAACACCAGUGGCGAAGGCGGUUCUCUGGACCUUUCCUGACGCUGAGGAGCGAAAGCGUGGGGAGCAAACAGGCUUAGAUACCCUGGUAGUCCACGCUGUAAACGGUGGGUACUAGGUGUGGGGUCCAUUCCACGGAUUCCGUGCCGUAGCUAACGCAUUAAGUACCCCGCCUGGGGAGUACGGCCGCAAGGCUAAA
Molecule: ribosomal RNA, 396 nt
Filed under: uncultured bacterium
Lineage: Bacteria
Description: bacterial SSU rRNA
Rfam family: Bacterial small subunit ribosomal RNA
Source: RNAcentral